RNAcentral lists this ribosomal RNA (1536 nucleotides) under Triticum aestivum (bread wheat). RNAcentral's name for it is "partial small subunit ribosomal RNA". The record is from RNAcentral. Lineage: Eukaryota; Viridiplantae; Streptophyta; Magnoliopsida; Poales; Poaceae.
AUGAACCAGCUGCUUGCUCUCGCCGGCCCACGCGCUGAUCCGUUCGUUCGCCUGCGCGGCCUCGUCCUCCCAGUCCGUGUUCCAGAUGACGGCGAGCAGGACCGCCGUCUGCAGCGCCGUCCCGCACAGCAUCCCCGCCCAGAUGCCCUGGGGGCCGAGCCGGAGGAGGUAGCCGAGGCAGAACCCGAGGGGGAGCCCGAAGGCGUAGUAGCAGCCCAGGUUGAUGUACGCCACCAGCGCCUGCCACCCGCCGCCGAUGGCCACCCCGGAGAUCACCGGCUGCACGCUGUUGAGCACCAUGGUGACCGCCAGCAGGUACGCCACCCUCCCCACGGCGGCCUGCAUGGCCCGGUCGCCCGUGAAGAGCGCCGCGAAGCUGUUGCGGUAGGCCAGGAUGAGCGCCAUGGCGAGCAGGCCGAUGAGCAGGGACUGGGCGAUGACCGACGCCACGGCGUGCUUCGCCGCCCGCGGACGGCCGGAGCCCAGCUCGUUGGACACGCGCACGCUGAUGGCCGCGUUCAGCCCGAUGAACAGCAUCGCCUCCCACCCGUUGAGGUUCAUGCAGAUGGACACGGAGCCCACGGCGAUCUCCGCGUCGUCGAGGUGGCCCGUGAGGACCACGAGCACCAUCAUGUACCACACCUCCAGGCAGAGCAUCACGGCGGAGGCCAGCGAGAGCUUGGCGAACGCCCACAGCCCCUCGAACGCCUUCCACGACAGGCCGUCCCAGCCGCCGCCGUCCCCGCACCACCGCACCACGUACACCACCUGCGCCACGGCGAUGCCCCACGAGGUGACGUCGUACGCCGCGGCGGCUCCGGCGAGCCCCCACCCGAGGCGCGACACGAAGAGGUACAGCAUGGCGACGUGCGCGGCGAGCGCGGCGAGGCUGAUCCACGCCAGCACCAUCACCUUGCUCUGCGCCUGCAGGAACUUCUGCGUCGGGAAGGUGAGCGCCAGCGAGAACAUCUGCGGGAGGAUGCGCAGCGUGAAGUCCCCCGCGGCGCCGGCGAUGGCGUCGUCCUGGCCGAGCGCGCGCAGGAUCGGCGUGGCGAAGACGUAGAGCGGGGAGAGGAGGACGGCCGAGACGGCGAGGAUGAUCCAGGACCGCUGCAUGUAGACGCCGAGCGCGCCCAGCUGCCCGGCCCCGUACGCCUGCCCGCACAGCGUCUCCAGCGCGCUGCCCAUGCCGAGGAGGAACCCGAAGGAGAAGUUGGAGACGACGGAGAGGCCGACGGCGGCGGCGGAGAGCUGCAGGUUGCCGAGGCGGCCGGCGAAGAGCUGCGUGGCGGAGUUGACGCCGUAGAGGCAGAGGAUGUUGAAGGUGAUGGGCGCCGCGAUGGCCCACAGCCGCUCCGCCUCCCGCACGAACGCCUCCCGCGCCUUCUUGUAGCUCCUCGGCGCCGCCGCGUCCUCCUCCGCGACCACGGCCGGCCUCUUCGCCAGCAGCGGCGCCUCCAUGAGGACCAUGACCGACCGACCGACUCUGCUCGACUCCGACGACGUACGACUGAACUGAGACGAGCAGCUAGGUAG